Molecule: long non-coding RNA, 410 nt
Organism: Mauremys reevesii (Reeves's turtle)
Lineage: Eukaryota; Metazoa; Chordata; Testudines; Geoemydidae
Exons: 3
Source: RefSeq, a predicted model, not a curated record
CUUCUCAGGUUGCUAUGGAGCUCUAAAAGAUUCCUUUACACUCCACUGUCCUUCCCAUGCCCCAGACCCAAGCUUCCACUUUGUCAGGUAUAAUAUCUCCAGGCUCCCUGACCCAGCUAAGGACCAGAGGCAGCGUCCACCUGAUUAAGUCAAUCUGAAAUAUUGUUUAUUGUGAAGAAGGGGGACAGCUUCAUUCAGUGAAAAGUUUACACAGAGGAAGUCCAAUUAGAAGCCACAAGGGCCCUGUCAAUACUGAGAGAUUGGCCACAUACCCAGGAUAUCAAGAUUUCUGUUUGUAUACUUCCCUACACUGUCAGAGAAACUAGACACAGAGGAGAAAGUGACUUGUCCACUCACACAAGCAAGACAGUGUCAGAUGCCAGAUUUCACUCCAAUUCAUCUGACUGAGG